This 433-nucleotide ribosomal RNA is filed under the name uncultured bacterium. RNAcentral's name for it is "partial 16S ribosomal RNA". It matches the Rfam family "Bacterial small subunit ribosomal RNA", at positions 29 to 507 of the family's 1533-position model. The record is from RNAcentral.
AACGAACGCUGGCGGCAUGCCUAACACAUGCAAGUCGAACGAGACCUUCGGGUCUAGUGGCGCACGGGUGCGUAACGAGGGGGAACCUGCCCUUAGGUUCGGAAUAACUCCCCGAAAGGGGUGCUAAUACAGGUUAAUGUAUUAGGACCAAAGAUUUAUCGCCUUUGGAUGGGCCCGGGUUGGAUUAGCGAGUUGGUAGUGUAAAAGCCUACCAAGGCGACGAUGCAUAGCUGGUCUGUUAGGAUGACCAGCCACACUGGGACUGAGACACGGCCCAGACUCCUACGGGAGGCAGCAGUAGGGAAUAUUGGACAAUGGGCGAAAGCCUGAUCCAGCAGUGCCGCGUAAGUGAGGAAGGCCUUAGGGUUGUAAAGCUCUUUUACCCGGGAUGUUAAUGACAGUACCGGGAGAAUAAGCUCCGGCUAACUCCGUG